RNAcentral lists this ribosomal RNA (245 nucleotides) under uncultured bacterium. RNAcentral describes it as "partial 16S ribosomal RNA". It matches the Rfam family "Bacterial small subunit ribosomal RNA", at positions 524 to 768 of the family's 1533-position model. The record is from RNAcentral.
UACGUAGGGGGCAAGCGUUGUCCGGAAUGACUGGGCGUAAAGCGCGCGCAGGCGGUCUUCUGCGUCUUGGGUGAAAGACCGGGGCUCAACCUCGGGAGUGCCUAAGAAACGGGGAGACUUGAGGGUCGGAGAGGCAAGGGGAAUUCCACGUGUAGCGGUGAAAUGCGUAGAGAUGUGGAGGAAUACCAGUGGCGAAGGCGCCUUGCUGGACGAUACCUGACGCUGAGGCGCGAAGGCGUGGGGAG